This 478-nucleotide ribosomal RNA is filed under the name uncultured bacterium. Its description in RNAcentral is "partial 16S ribosomal RNA". It matches the Rfam family "Bacterial small subunit ribosomal RNA", at positions 28 to 523 of the family's 1533-position model. The record is from RNAcentral.
GACGAACGCUGGCGGCGUGCUUAACACAUGCAAGUCGAACGGUAAGGCCCUUCGGGGUACACGAGUGGCGAACGGGUGAGUAACACGUGGGUGAUCUGCCCUGCACUUCGGGAUAAGCCUGGGAAACUGGGUCUAAUACCGGAUAGGACUCCGGACUGCAUGGUCUGGGGUGGAAAGCUUUUGCGGUGUGGGAUGGGCCCGCGGCCUAUCAGCUUGUUGGUGGGGUGAUGGCCUACCAAGGCGACGACGGGUAGCCGGCCUGGGAGGGUGACCGGCCACACUGGGACUGAGAUACGGCCCAGACUCCUACGGGAGGCAGCAGUGGGGAGUAUUGCACAAUGGGCGCAAGCCUGAUGCAGCGACGCCGCGUGAGGGAUGACGGCCUUCGGGUUGUAAACCUCUUUCAGCACAGACGAAGCGCAAGUGACGGUAUGUGCAGAAGAAGGACCGGCCAACUACGUGCCAGCCGCCGCAGUAA